This is a long non-coding RNA of Raphanus sativus (radish), 806 nucleotides long. RefSeq lists it as uncharacterized. The record is from RefSeq and is a predicted model, not a curated record. The transcript is spliced from 2 exons. Lineage: Eukaryota; Viridiplantae; Streptophyta; Magnoliopsida; Brassicales; Brassicaceae.
AUUUUGUUUAUUUUUAAUACAUAGUGUUAAACUAAAAUGCAGCGAGUUUUUAGUUUAAGGUAAUGUUUAAUACAUAUUGUUAAGAGUAUUUGCACUAGAUAUACAUGAAACAAUAUUUAAUUAGGUGAAUGGCGAUGCCACUGUUGUUUUUUCAGUAAUGCCAAUAUUAUCCCUAUUUUGUGUUAACUGGGAAUAUAGGUUUAGAUAUGUUUGACUGACACAUCUCUAAGACAACUGGUUGAACAAGCUUCAUAAUAACUAAAAUCCAUUUUCUAUUUUGCUUUUUACUUAUAUUGUGGACCAUUCAUAUUUUGUUUUACGAAUCUCAUAUCUCUCAUCUUUGUGUUUCCUCUCUUCUUGUUUUCUGUUUAUUGAAAAAAUCUCAAAUCUAAUUAAAUUCAAUUUCCAUGGCUAACUAGAACCGGAGAUGGCAGAGGGAAAGCGGCGGUGGUCUCAGAGCUAAGCAAAUCAUGAUUCCAUGUCUAACCAGAGGCGAUGGUGUCUCCAAGAAAAGAUGAAAUAGGAAGAAUAAAUGGUGGUCUGACGUCAAGCGUGGUGCAGUGAUGAAGCUAGAGAAGAAGAUAUGUCCGAGAAGAAGAAAAUGAGACAAAAAACAGGCUACAAGGAAAAAGAUGUAAAUUCGCUUUGAUUCAUAUGACCAACUACCUAAAUAAAGAAGUUUUUGUCUUGUUGCCUAAAUAACUUUUGUUUUAUGGUUAUCUACCUAAAUGACUCUAUUGUUAAUCUUUUUGGACAGUUAAAUUAGGAGACAUGGUCUCUUUUAUUCAAAGGGUGAAUUUUAUUUA